GUGGAUUAGAUACCCUGGUAGUCCACGCCGUAAACGGUGGGCACUAGGUGUGGGACUCAUUCCACGAGUUCCGUGCCGAAGCUAACGCAUUAAGUGCCCCGCCUGGGGAGUACGGCCGCAAGGCUAAAACUCAAAGGAAUUGACGGGGGCCCGCACAAGCGGCGGAGCAUGCGGAUUAAUUCGAUGCAACGCGAAGAACCUUACCUGGGUUUGACAUAUACCGGAAAGCUGCAGAGAUGUAGCCCCCGCAAGGUCGGUAUACAGGUGGUGCAUGGCUGUCGCCAACU
This 287-nucleotide ribosomal RNA is filed under the name uncultured bacterium. RNAcentral's name for it is "partial 16S ribosomal RNA". It matches the Rfam family "Bacterial small subunit ribosomal RNA", at positions 773 to 1060 of the family's 1533-position model. The record is from RNAcentral.